RNAcentral lists this long non-coding RNA (36365 nucleotides) under Olea europaea (common olive). Its description in RNAcentral is "long non-coding RNA (OEUR_LNC007680)". The record is from RNAcentral. Lineage: Eukaryota; Viridiplantae; Streptophyta; Magnoliopsida; Lamiales; Oleaceae.
AUCAUUCUCCUAACACAAAGAAAUCUAGCCUAACAUGUCGUGAAGAAGAAAACAAAAGAUAUGAAAAUUGUUCAUCAUCCGAAAAAUCUUGAAUUCAAUUUUAGUGUUCUUGAAUCUCGAUGUGUUCUUUACCUCCUUUUGCAAUUGAUUCUCCACAACCCUAAUUAUGUGUUGGGAAUUGAUAUUUUCAAUAUGUGCCGCCCAAGGAGAUGUUUCCCUUUUGGAUUGAAAUUCUGAAUAAAAAUCAGUUUUUCCGUCACGAUUGGCUUGGGUAGUCGCUCAGACAUUUUUUUUUUGCCUUUAUUGUCCAUUUUCAUGGCUGAGCGAUCGCCUGACCAAUAUAACUAGGCAGUCGCCUAGUUAUGUUGGCUUUCAAAUUUUGCAUUUUAAUUCCCGAAUUCAACUAUUGAUUUUUUAAAAUUAUUUUCUCUUGCAAUUUCAAUCCUUCAACUUCUAAUUGCAUCCACAUCUUUAAUCUUCAUAUUAUGAUCCGAAUCAACUUUUAGAAUGUUGUAAUUUAGCCCUCAUACUUUGAAUUUUAUGCUUUUUCUUUUCCAAUUGCUCAGAAACAAGUCCAUCACUGAAAUAAACGAAAAUUUAGCCAAGUUAAAUAAAUGUCAACACUUUCAUAACAUAAAAGCUUAGUAAUAUGGUCUAAAUAGUACACAAAAUGUACUUAACAGAGUCGAACUUAUUUGUUGGAGUCAACCCCAUAUGGAGAAUCAAACCCUUAUGGACGGGACGAAGCUACAAGGGACUUAGUAGGAGAUCUUUUAAGCAAUUCUCAGUAAGCGAUUAAUGUGACAAUUCACUACUACUGUCGCCCUAUUCAGCCAAGCAGGGCAAGUCUAAAUCAUGUGUCGGACUUUUGGGCAACAAAAUGAUAUUAGCAUUCAAUGUCUGCGAUUGAUUGAUACCUUUGAUAAGAGGCCUCAACCACAUGGAUGAGGCCAUGGAUACAUUCAUUCAAUAGUCAGUAAUGUGUCAUUCCAAAAUGUAAUGCAAGUUUAGACUCUUAAGCUAUAACUUUGCUCUCGUCUCUAUUAUAUAUUUUUUCCAAAGCCAAACCAUUUUUUACAUAAGCGGCUCACGUCUAAAGUACAUCUCACACGCAAAUACAUUUCACUUCAACUGACUUGACCAUUGGAGUGUGCUCAGCCUACUCUAUUACCACCGAAGGAAGUCAGAUGUGGCUAACGGGUUGUCCUAGUAUGCAGAAGCAGGAUGUAAGUAGGAGGCCUUAGGAUCUGUUGACCUCGAUUUUGGUAUGGAAUUUCAUCUUGUUCAUUACGACAAAGUAAUCUCCAUAUGAACAAAUAUCGCAGGUUGAUUCAAAUCUCCAUAGUAAAAUGGUAAAUAAUUUUACUUACUGAAUUAUACGUUCAUAUAAAUUAUACUUGUUUCAUACCAUUUGUGUAAAUUUAGAAAUCUCUUAAAGCGGAUGAAAGUGAUCUUUUCCAAUCUACCCUCAUGUUUCAAUAAAGAACAAGCACUGUGGAUGCUCACAUUCAGUUGACUUUCAAAUUGUUCCAUCCUUCCAUGGCAUCUACUGGAGUGAUGAGACAACAAUGAGUAUUCCUUGAGGAUAGAAGUAAAACUUUAUCUUUCUUCUAAUAUUUAGAUUAAUACAAUAACAAAUAUCAAUAUCUUUACAAAUAUCUACUGUCUCUAUGAUUUAAUUUCUCAAAUGAUGUUCGAUGAUCGUUGACAUUUUAUUGCAUGUUAUAUACAAACAAGUCCAUCCCUGUAAUAGCAAACACUGAACUGAAAAUAUUAUGUACGAGAAUCUAACACAUUCAAAACACUAACAACACCUUCAAAAUAACUUAUCCCGUGCAAUAAUCUUUUUAUUGAGUUUCUAAAAACUUUCUUAGAGUAUUUGCAUAAUUUUAAAAUUUGGCCAAAAAGCAAAUGUUUACAUUCUAAAAGUUUGGCUCUUGUGGUUGAGACUGAUGAUCCGGCACUCAUAAUAUUUAUAGAGUCAUAUUUUAAAUAUAUUAUUUAAAAUCAAUUGAUGUUCAAUAAAGAAAGGCUAAGAAGGGGGUAUCUUCAAUCAAGAUUGUGAUAUAUUUUAAAAAUCAUUCUAAAUUUAAGUGUCUCCAAUUGAGGUUUUAAUGAAAUUCAUUAAAAUAUAGAUGUCUUUACUGAUAUUUUAAUGAAUUUCAAUAAAAUUCUUCAAAAUUUAGGUGUCUUCAAUAACUAGUGGAUUUCAUUGAUAAAUGAAUUUUAAAAGAUUUGGAUGGAUUUCAAACUGAAAAAUACAUAUAACAAAAUCUUUCAAAAUUUCACCAUAUUCGACGAGAUUCUUAUGGAUUUUGUGGAAAUAUAUUCAAAUUCACAAAAUUUAUUAUCCUUCAAAAUCCAUCAAAAUCUUCCUCGAGGAUAACUCUUUAAACAUUUUAUAACAUUUAAUUACAAUAAUGUGAAUGACUUAAUCUCUAGGUUUUAGAGUAUUGAUUUUUGAGAUAUGCUUAAAAUAAAAUUUUUUUUAUUUAUUUUGAAAAGUUUUGUUGGCCUCAAAAAAUGUACCUCCGACGUGGUCAACAGAUUCCAAAGCCUCUCACAUCUAUGCAGGCAUUGUUCCUGCAUCCACACGUUCUCUAGCAGCCAAGUUAAUUGGGAAAGAAAAUAUAUGAGUGUGGGAGAGCUUUACACAUGAGCCUCCAAUAUAAAAGGAGGAUCGACUUUAGAGAGUAACAAAUAAAACAAUGAUAAAGCAAAGUUAUAGUGUGAAAGUCUAAACUUGCAUUACUUUUGGAAUGACACCAAGUGUAAGCCUUUAUAGUAGAAGAUGGUAAGUAAGAAUCGUUGGAUGAAGAGGCAUGUGGCCCCAUCUAUACGGUCAUUAAGUGCCAAUACCAUAUUUUUACCCAAAAUGCCUAGCUUGCAGCUUUAGACUCGACCUGGUGUGCUUGGAAGCAGUGGCAGUGAUAGUAAAUUGUCAUAUCAAUCACAUAUAAUUGAUUGUUUGAGAAAUCUUACUAUGACUUUCCGUUACAACCUUGCCUCCUCCGUGGUUUGACUCAUUUUCAUAGCGUCAACUAGUGGGGGUCAAUAGACAUACUAGCUCGGCACCCUAAAGGGCGUGCUUAUUUUUGUGUGGGCUCUACUAUUUUUAGCCACGUAUGACAUUUGAAGGGUGUUAUGGAUAAGGUAUAACAAUCGUCUCGAAGUCUAUGUAUGAUUAUUCAUGUAAUGCAUGGACUUUUAAGUUGAGAUGUAAGAUCAUGUGAAUGGUGAGCCAGUCGAUGUGAUGAACCCUUUGAGAAGGCUGAAUUUGAAGAAGGUGAGGCCCUUGAUAAGGAGGGCAAGUUUGUUGAUGUAAUGAAGCUUUUGAGAAGGCUGAAUUCAAAGAAGGCGAGGUUUUUGCUAAGGAGGGAGAAUUUGUUGAUGUGAUGAAGACUGUGGGAAGGCUUCGAAAAGGAGAGGCCCUUGCUAAGGAGGGCGAGCCUAUUGAUGUAAAUGUUGAAGGGAUGCGUGUUGUCAUGAUUUGGAAACAUUAUAUGGUUCCAAAAAAUGGCAACAAGAUAGUUUGGAGUUUUCCAUAUAUGUAUUGUGUACGCAUUUAUGAUGCUGUGAAGAUGGACUAUUAUAACCGGCAGGGGUUAUGCACCAGUUGGUGUGUGAUGUGCAUAGAUCGAUUAGGGACAUCAAUUUUCAAAAGGAACCUUUUGGUUUUUUAACGUGUGUGAUGGGAGUACAAGUAUACGUCUAGCAUUAUUUCUGAGUUGAUCAAACGAUGAUGCUCGAUUUAGGUUGCUUAUGAAAGGAGGAAAACAAUUGUUUCUUACCUUUUACUUUACAAAAGCUCCCAACCCCUUUGAACAUUUUAUUUUGGGAUUUUCGAUCAUCUUUGUCACUUUUUUGGCGAGUACUUCCAUCCAUAUCUCCAUGUUAUUUCAUGACUUGUGUAAGUGAUAGAACUUCAUCUUCUUUCAUGUUAGUUUUCUAAGACAAUAAUUCAUUGGCCUCAUCUUUGAAGAAUUCGACGGGGGGUCUUCUGAAAGUAGAUAUGGUACUAAUUUGUACCAAGGUUGGUUGCCUUUGUUGAUUCCCAUUGAGCGGAUAAGGGAUGCCAUUGGGGCCCACAUAGUUUGUAGAUGAUGCAAAGUGUGAGAUAGGAGCUUUCUUGUGCCUAUCGUGUGUGGAGGAGAGUAAAAUUUGAUACGUUUUGGGAAAUGACAUAGGAUACUAGAAACCAUUGAGAUGUUUGCUCCUAUCCCUGAUGAGCGAGCCUUUUUUCAAUGAGGGGCAUGUUGUGGUGAGUAAAUCGAUUUUUAGUGGUGGGAUGAAACUGCCAUGCAUUCUUUCUUUAGAUAUAUAAUUAAGUAGUAUAACUUGGCUCCUACCCAAUUAAUGCCCAAUGCACGGAGCCAAUUUUCAAGGCUUUUCUUCUUUGGAAGGAAGUCACUAUUGGUGAGGAUAUGCCUCCCCAUGUCUUUCAGACCCAUUUUUAGCCUCGAGCUUCUAGUGGGGAGAGUAAUGUAAAGAGUGGUACUGUAUGAACCUAUGGGGUCCGCAUUCGUCCUUCAUCUGGGAUACUUCGACCUCAAUAAAGAAUUGAAAAUUGUCUUGGUUCUAGAUGAGGGGUCAUUAGUAGAUAGUGGAGGGGGAUAGAGUCCUAGAAAUAAUUGUGCCGACCCAAAACCAUAGUAUAGUGAGUUUAUUUUGGUUAAGAUAAUUCAUUCAUUGCUGUAUUUCGUUGAGCUGCAUCACUAGCUUGUGGUUUUUUUAGCUGUAAUUAACCAUUUCAAGAUUGAGCCAUCGGAGUGGGCCAUUGUCAAGGCCAUCUACGACUUUCCUACCGAGAAGAGGUAUUUUAAAAACUUACUUAGCCCUUUCGUGACAUAUUUAUUGAUGGUGACCAAGGUAAGUAGUUAGCGCCUUGCAUUCAUUGUUAUGCUAUUAAGAUUUUAGGCUAUGUUAAAGUCUCGACUUUUGUUUUGUAAAGCGACAUGAUAACAAUGAAUAUAUAUCAAGCCGGAUAUGUUCUUUAUGAGCACCUACGGAAAGCGAGGAAAAAGAAACCAUUGAGUUCCAGCUCCUCUAUCUACAAGAUCCAGAGGGAUGAGCUGUCCUUUUUAUCUAAGAUUAAUUCACCGCUUCUCUUAGAGAAAGAGGGGCAAGAACAGGAUGAAAAAAUUGAGCCUUCAGUGGGGGACCCAUAAGAGGAAGUUGACUUUAACAAAGAACACUAAGCCUCUUGGUGUGAAAAAGCACCAAACAAGUUUUUAGGUUGUGUGGUACAGUGCGUACACUGUAUAUUAAUGACUUCUCUUUGUUAAUUCUCUAACUCCAGAAUAAUUAUAUUGUUGGACAAAUUACUCUUGGUGCGAUGGAGCUCUCUUCCCUAAUAUCCAAGUCUUUUAGCCAACCAAUUCCCAACCAAAACACUACCCAAUCAUCAAUUACUCACACACAUCGACGUCGACGACGGUAAUCAGUCGUCAAUCGACAAACCCCAAACCACAGGCCUCACGCCACAUGUUAAUCCACAUCCACAGGUGGUUGCCCUAGGCAGAAACCCUAGCAUGUCGCUCAAAAUGUUGCUCUGACUGGAGGCAAGCCAUCCUGGGUUGGUGUGGAAACCCUAGGUGCCAGAGAAACUAGUGGCAGGGGGAGAAAACCAGGCAGAGAGGUGGUGCGAUCUGGGAUCCAAAACUAGAUUCAUCGAGAAUCGAUCACUGGUUCGGCACGCGUCCUACCAGCAGGCUGUGCGGGCGAAUUCGACUAGACCAUGGUGCGGGGCUCCGGCGACGUUUCUACCAACUCGUGGAGGCAUCGAAAAACCAGAAAUUUAUUCUUGCUCAGUCCAGAUCAUCCGAGAUAUCGAUUUUACCAUUAGAUGUGCAAUUUACCCAAAAUUAGGGAAAAAAAGUUGGAGAAUUCAUAUGGUAUAGUACUCAAUCGUAGGUUUCAAAUAGACACAAAAGAGAUUGCAAUGUUUUUUAACAAUUUUGGCAUUGUUAUAAUGAAAGAGUGGGGAUAGAAGAUAUCAAAUGAAAUAUGUAUUGGAAGGUUUGGUGCACUUUGGAUGGUGAAUAUGGUGGAUAAGUUGAGGGUGACUAGUAGGUUGGAGGAUUUUUUCUUGAAGUUCAGCGAGUCUUCAAGAGCUUUUUAGCAUAACAAUGUGUGAAUAGCCACGGUAGAUACUUGACGAUUGCACAGUAUGGGGAGAGGCUUCGGAAAGGAGUCGUGAUGGUGCCGGAAGGUACGAAUGGAAAAGGAUGGUAUCAAUCUCACGGGUGUUUCAGGUAGUAGUUGAUUCAUUUGUUGCUAGAGAUAAGGCUAAACAUCGAACAGUAGAAGAAGGAAGUCGACAAUGGAUGACCUAUGCCGAAGUUAAUGGCAAACUUACAGACCUCGUAGAAUAUUAGUCAAAGGAUACUAAUGGGAAAGGAAAAGGUGACUAAGGUGAGUGAAAAUGAAGGUCAUUGUAUGAUGUCUAAGUCUAAGGAAGUAUAUGCAGAAGUUUCAAAUGAUGGUUUCCUGAACUAUGCUGAAAUAAAGGCUCGUGUUCAGGCGUUGAAAGUGGAAUUGGAUGAAUUAGUUAGACUAGUGGGAUGUGGGUCCAAAGUGAACUUCAAGAUGCUUUAUUGUCAUAAGUGUGGGAGGAGCGUGGAUGAGUCUAGAAAACAAAUAGAUAUCGACUCUUAAGACGUUAUCUCUAAAAGUAGCCACUACUACAGAAAAGGAGGAUAAUGACUUAGAGAGUGAAACAAAUAGGGAGGUGUUACCUUGUUCCAACGAAGGGGAGCUGACUAUGGUUAAUGUGGAGUUGGCGUGAUGGACAUGAUGCAGCCGAUCGAUGGAUUAUUAUCAGUGGAGAAGAGACGGGACAUGUAUUGGCGAAGGAUUCAGUUCUGACAGCCCUGAAAGAGCAGGAGGCGACAUGCUCAAGAACCAUGGUGGGGAACACGUAUAAUAGAAGGCACUCUAAGCCUCUAAAGGAAGGAGAAGUAGAGAUGGAAAAAGCUCUGGUGUUGUGGGUAGAUGGUGCCAAGAAGGGAGGAAUAGACAUUGAUGUUGUGCAAGUGGAAGAAGAGGAGGAAAUUGGACCCCACCUUCAAAUUGGGUCCUUAAAAAAGUUUAGGAUUUCAGUAAGUUGGUGGGUCGAUAGAUAUGAAAGUAGACUUUUGCACUUAUUCGAGGAACUGGAGGCUAGUAGGGGAUAAGGAAUAAUUAAACAAGGUGGUAAAUUAAGAAGAAAGGGUAACCGUGAACAUAAGUGGCUCAAUUGGUUGGUAAAUUACGAUGCCAAGGGUGUCGAAUCAAAGAAAGGAAUGCUUGGAAGGUAAGAUAGAGCAUUUAAAUGAUUUCAAAAAUAAGUAGCUGGAAUGUGAGGGGGCUUAAUGAAACGGGGAAAAUGUUAGGUGUUCGAAAUCUGCUAAGGGAAUGGAGGGCAGAUCUUGUUUGCUUACAAGAAACUAAGUUGGAGUUCAUCUCAUGGGCUAUUGUGAGUAGUUUACGGGGAGGAUAGCAUGUUGGGUAUUAAUAUGUGGGGUCAUCAGGGGCUUCAGGAGGUGUGCUAGUCAUGUGGGACACGAGAGUGUUUGAUAUGGAAGAGGUCAGUGAAGGGCUAUUUUCCUUAUCGCUUUCGUUCAGAAAUAUUAAGGACAAAUUCUCUUGGAUGUUUAUAGGAGUCUAUGUGCCUAAUGCUGAUGAAAGUAAAGGUGUAUUAUGGGAGGAGUUGGCUGGGAUGAUGACUUGGUGGAACAUUCCAACGUGCAUUAGGGGAAAUUUUAACGUGGUUCGGUUCCCUAUUGAGAGGUCUAGCAGUGGGAGAUUAACAGGGGCAAUGGAAGAGUUCUCAGAUUUUAUUAGGGAGAAUAUCUUGGUGGGCCUGCAUUUAAUUGGAGGAGACUUUACUUGGUCUUCUAAUAGGGAUCAACUUGUUCUAUCUCGAAUAGAUCCAUUUUUGAUUAUUGGGGAGUAGAAGGAGAUAUGCUGGGAGGUCACGCAAAGAAGAUUAGGGAGGGUGUAUUCCGAUCAUUUCCCUAUUUUGCUAUCUAGGAAUGUGAGGUGUAGUGUAAGAAGAGCUUUUAUGAUUGAGAAGAUGUGGUUAAAAGUAGAAAGCUUUAAGGAGCGUGUGUGGGAUUGGUGGACAUCUUAUGAUUUCAGGGGGUUUCCUAGUUGUGUGUUGGACCAAAAAUUGAAAGCCUUGAAGAGAGAUAUAAAGAAGUGGAGUAAGGAGGAGGGGGGAUGUUAAUUGGCGUAAAAAUCAAUGCAUUUUAGAUAUAGAAGAGAUGGAUAUGAGAGUGAAGAGUCAAGGAUUGACAGGGGAAGAGAUGGAGAGACGUGGAAAUUUAAGGAAAGAGUUGGAGAGGUUGGUAGAAAUGGAUGAAAUAGCUUGGUGCCAGAAAUCUAGGGUCAAAUGGUUGGAGGAGGGUAAAUGUAUCCAAUUUUUUUCAUAAGGCCUCUAAUUCCAAUAGGCGCAUAUCAAUUCUAUCACUAUGUUGGAGGUAGAUGGAGUUACUUAUGAAGACCCACAUGACAUUGGGACUCAAAUGAUGAGUUUUUAUCAAAAUCUUUAUAGGAAGCGGUUUGACUAGAGGCUCGAGUUGGAGUUGUUAGAUUUUUCUGCUAUCAUUGAGGAGGAUUCAGACUGGUUAGAGCAACCAUUUGGGAAGGAUGAGAUUCGGGAGGUAGUGUUUAGCAUGAAUGACGAUAAGACACCAGGAUUGGAUGACUUCUCCUUUUCAUUUUACAAAGUUUGUUGAGAAGUGGUGUGGCCGGACAUUGUAGAGGUAUUUACUUAUUUAUUUCAGUGUGGUAGAUUUUUGAGAAGUUUUAAUGCUACAUAUAUUGGGCCGAUUCCAAAAAAAUCGAGAACGACAUAUAUUAAUGAGGUGUCGGGGAAAGUGGUGUCUAACUUUCAAAAUGUGCUUGUCAAAGGGCGACAUAUUUUGGAUUCCUACUUAUAGCAAACGAAUGUAUUGACUCGAGAUUACGAACAGGGUUCCAGGGAUGUUCUGUAAGCUUGAUAUUCAGAAAGUAUACGAUUACUUUAAUUGGGGAUUCCUUUUAUAUAUGCUCAGGCAAUGUGGUUUCGGGGAUAAGUGGUGCCGAUGGUUUCAAUUUUGUAUCUCUAUGGUCUCCUUUUCAGUUUUGGUGAACGGCACUCCUGAGGGUUAUUUUCGGAGUAGCAGAAGUUUGAGGCAAGGGGAUAUCCUUUGUCUCCAAUGCUAUUUGUUAUCGUUAUGGAGGCGUUCAGUAGAUGCUUGAGAAGGCUGCGGAGGAGGGUUUGUUGAGGGGUUUUAUGGUUGACCAAUUACGAGUAUCUCAUUUGCUAUUUGCAGACGACACAUUGAUCUUCUGUGAUACAAAUGCUGAGCAAUUUAAGAACUUGCAUCGUCUACUACUAUGCUUUGAAGCUGUAUUUGAUUUGAAGAUAAAUUUGGGAAAAUUUGAGGUUAUCACAGUGGGAGAUGUCAACAAGGUGGAGGAGUUAGCGGCCAUAUUGGGUUGUAGGAUUGCACAGCUGCCUAUGUCAUACCUUGGGCUCCCUUUAGGAGCACGUUUUAAUAAUAUACACAUUUGGACCAAUAUUGUGGAAAGGGUGGAGAUGAGAUUAGCGAGUUGGAAGCGCAUAUACCUCUCAAAGGGAGGACAUCUUACCAUCAUUAACUCCACCCUAUCAAAUCUCCCUAUGUACUUUUUGUCACUAUUUUCUAUUCCUGUCUUAGUGGCAAAAAGAUUAGAGAGGAUUUAACGGGAGUUUCUAUGGGGAGGGCUAGGGGAGGAGAGGAAACUUCAUUUGGUUAAUUGGAGGGCAGUUUGUUCUCCCCUAAGGAUGGGGGGCCUCGGACUGAGGAGUCUUGAUUUGUUUAAUAAGGCUUUGUUGGGUAAGUAGCUAUGGCAUUUCGGCGUGGAGAGGGAGAGCUUUUGGAGAGAAAUUAUAGAGGUGAAAUAUGAUAUUAUGGAGGGGGAUGGUGCUCAGUCAUGGAUCGUGCUUCUUAUGGGAUGAGCUUAUGGAGGUAUAUCUGAUGAGGAUGGAAAGAUUUUCGAGAUAUAUGGAUNNNNNNNNNNNNNNNNNNNNNNNNNNNNNNNNNNNNNNNNNNNNNNNNNNNNNNNNNNNNNNNNNNNNNNNNNNNNNNNNNNNNNNNNNNNNNNNNNNNNNNNNNNNNNNNNNNNNNNNNNNNNNNNNNNNNNNNNNNNNNNNNNNNNNNNNNNNNNNNNNNNNNNNNNNNNNNNNNNNNNNNNNNNNNNNNNNNNNNNNNNNNNNNNNNNNNNNNNNGUGAUAGCAAUACUCUUAGAUUUUAGGAAGAUUGUUGGUGUGAAAAUCGACCAUUGAGAGUGGAGUUUUCUUCUCUGCCUCGUGUUGCUUUAAGGCUAUUUGCUAUGGUGAAUGAUGUCUUACAUAUACAUAAUGAGAAUCUUAGUUAGAAGGGUUUGCAUGAUUGGGAGUUGGAUGAUUAUGCACUGCUUUUGACCUCUUUGUAUGAGGCGCACAUCAAGGUCGGAGAGAGUGAUUGUAGCAGGUGGAGGUUGGCAUGAGAUGGUAUCUUCUCAGUUGACACUUAUUUUAGAUCCUUAUUGGGACUUGUGGAGAGCUCAUUCCCUUGGAAAAUGGUAUGGAAAUGUAAACUGUCCCCUCAGGUGGCAUUUUUUACUAUGGACGGUUGUGAGGAGACAGGUGUUAACAGCGGAUAACCUCUGAAUAAGGGAUUUUUAUGUUGAGGAAUGGUGCUAUAUGUGUCGGAAGAAUGGGGAGACAAUUGACCACUUGUUUCUUCAUUGUGAAGGUGCUCGCUCCCUGUGGAACAAUAUUUUGACUUCUCAACACAUGGAUUGAGUGUUUCCAGGUGUAUAGAGGAUGUAUUGAAAGCAUGGAGGAGAAAAUUCGUAAUAAGGACAUCACAGUUGUCUGGGAUCUUAUUCUAGGAUGCAUUAUCUGGUGUGUGUGGAGGGAGAGAAACAGCUGCUGUUUUGAUGAUCAUACACAGGCAACUGAGUAGAUUAAAGAAUUGUUUUAUAUGACUUUGUAUACUUUGUUUAAUGCUACGGCUUUUACUCCCAUAGACGGGUUGCCUAAUUUUAUGUUGUUUCUUCCUUGUAUUAAUUGAUAAUACACUGCCGUUGUAUUAUUUGUGAUUAAUAAAAUAUUUGAUUAAUUAUAGAAAAGAAGAAGCCUUGAAUAGGUCAUAUUUUGCAAUCCAAAGAUUAUUCCUCUUGAUAUGCCUGAUUGAUAUUAGUAACAGAUCUUCAACAGUUGAUAAUAGUUUGGAACUACAUAGCCUUUUUAGUCUCAGAAGGGAUUCCAUUAUUGUAAUUAAAUAUCACACUUGCUGGAAAAAGGGUAUGUGACCAGACCGAUUAUUAUUAGACACGUGAAGAGUUUGAAGUUGAGGUAAACUAGUCAAGAACGCAAUAGGGAUCCAUCUGUGAAAUUAUUGUCCUUCAAAACCAAAUUCCUCAGAGAAGUUAAGUUCAUAAAUGCUGGCAAAAGAGUAACUGAAAACUCUUGCUCUCCAAGGUCUACAUUGGGCACAUUCCUCUUUGAAUUUCCAAUGAAAGGCAUCAUCCCCUUUCCAAGAAUCAGAUAUUGGAUAUCCAGUGGCACCAGCAACGUCAUGUAGUCCAGUGACUUGUGGCUUACAAAAGCUGUUAAUAUUCCAAGUGUUACAUGAACCCAUCUACCAAAGUCAGGCUUAGGCCCGUUCAACUUAUUGUUUUCAAUUUAAUGUUGAUAAGUUUUGGUAGGCUAAUCAAAGAACCUGGAACCACACCGGUGAGAACUGAUUAUCCCUUAAAACAGCAAAUCAAACAGAUUUGUACAGUUGGAUAAACCUGGGAUUGGACCAGUGAAUGAAUUAGCAUGUAACUAAAACCUGGGACAGCUCUAGCCAUAGAAGAUAAUGCAUUUAUAGUUCCAAGCAAUCCUUGUUUCUGACAGUUGAGACAAUUUUUUUGUAUGCCUGAGCCACCAAAAGAUGAGGGUAAUGAUCAGACAAGUUAUUGAAAGAUAGUCUCAAGGCUUGGAGGUUAGGAAAUGCAGAGAAAAAUCAGGUAUCACACCAUUAAGGCUAGCAUUACUAGCAUAAAAUUUGACAAGGAGUUUAGGAUUUCCCAUGGACUAAGAUUACUAUUGUCAUUUAUGGUGAAAGACUGAAGAUCGUGAGGCCUAAAAGGAAGUAUGGCCGAAUCGAAUAAAUAUUGUUGCUAUCUAGAUAGAUUUCUUCAAGUGCAGUCAUAUGAGGAAUGGAAGUUAAGGUCCCAGAAAGUGAGUUUCUUUGGAGGGAGAUGGACUUGAGCUGGGAAAGUUGAUUGAGUUCAGGAAGGAGGGUGCCUGCGAGAGACUUGGAAAUAAGGUUGAUGGAAAUAACAGAAUAGUAAGGAUUGCAAAUGACAUUGUUCCACUUCCAGGUGCAGUAGUGGUUAUGGUGGAUGACCAGCCAGACAGGGUGGGGGAGAGGGUGGAGAGCAGUUUCGACAUGAUGGCUGUGUCAUUGGCCGAGGAGAGGCUGAAUAAAAGGUGGAUGUAGAAGGAAUUUUGAAUUGGAUUUUUUGGAGGGAAGGAAAAUAGAAGAAUAUAAUGAGAUAAAGGGGACGUUGUUUUCGGUACUUUCUUGGACUGCAUAGUUAAGUCGAAGAUGGACGGGCUUCAGCAAAAAAAUUGUAAUUAUGUUUCUUUUUUGUUGUACUUGCGUUUCUCUUGGUGCUCAAACUUGUUUCUAUUACUUAUCCUUAGUUUUAUGUUGAAUUGUGAGGUAAUUAAAGUUUCACAUGCAUGGUUUCUUAAGAUUCAUGGCUACGUGAUAGGUUUAUCAAUAGCAUUAAAUUUGCUCAAAUGUUGGUUUUGUAUACUUCUUUUGGGCAACUUGAGACAUUUCAGGCAGUAUGCCAUCUUUGACGAAUUAUAUGAAAGAUGCUGCCAACAUUUCUUGUAAAAAGCACCUCAAAUGCAGCAUUGUAGAGAAGUGUAGCGUACAGAUGGGUGGCUAGAAAAAGAAAGUUAGGACUCAAUAUUGUGUAAAAUGUUAAACCAUUGAUUCUCGUACUUGCACUUACUUUUAAACCACUGUUUCUCGUACUUGCACUUGAAGGACUUUUUUAUACAACAUUUGUGAGCUUUGGUCCAUGUUUACCAUAUUCAUGUGAAUGAAGGGAUAUUAAUUAACAACUUUAUCCUAAAUAAUAUAGAGGAAAUUGGAAAAAAAUUGUUAGGAAGUUGUGUUCAAAGCAGAAAAAUGCAACUAAAGUAGAAAUGAUAAAAUUAAAGAAAAAUUGAUGAAUAAAAAUUAUUGGCAAAUUGUAAAAGUAUUUUAACUAUAGCAAAAGGUUACAACAAUUUCUCUUUACUAUAAUGAGAGUACAACAACAAUAAUCUCUCUCUUAUAAUAUGGAAAAACACUCUCUUAAAUAAAAACUAAGUAUUUAGGAGAAACUUCUCUUUUUCUCUCUUUCAAACUUUUCCCCUCUCUUUGUUCUCUCAAGAAUGGGAUACCACAAGUAAAUGGUUAUAUAUAUGAUUAAAAAGUAAUGUGAACAUUGCACAGUUCACAUUAAAUUGUGACCGCACAAUGUGAACACUAAAUUGUGACUGUACAGUGUGUGCAACAAAUUACUGCUGCCCAACAUGAAUACUAAGUUACGGCUGCACAGCGUGAAAACCAAAUUACGGAUGUGUAGUGUGAACGGUAAAUUAUUAUUGCAUAAUGUGAAUACAAAAUUACGUCAGAACAUAAAAAAGUGACUUUAUCAACAAAUUUGUCCCGCUUAAAGUCAAUUUUAUACUAACCAUUUUAUCCUUUUAAUCUUGCUCUUUCAUGCUACUUAUGUUUUCGUCAGGCCAAUAACGGAUCAUCAUCAUAUAAAUUUGAGAUCGUAUAGAGACUUGUUCAACUUGCAAACCAAGUUCUCUUUUUCUUUUGCUUUAUAACCUUUUCGCUAGAGUACAUAAAUAUCUUCUUCAAGUUUUUCAUGAAAAAAUGUAGUUUUUGCAUCCUACCAUUCUAAGUGCAAGUCAAAUGUAGCACACGUUCUCAAGAUUACUCGAACUGUUAUAAGUUGAACAUCAGGAGAUAAAUAUUUCAUUGAAGUCAAUGCCUUAUUUCUGAGCUAACCAUUCACCUCCAAUUUUGCACGAUACCGCUCCACUUGGUCAUUGUCAUCUCGCUUAAUCUUAUAGAUUGAUUUGUUGUCGAUAGUUAUCCCGCCUUGUGGUAGUGAAACAAGAUCUCAUGUCUCCUUUUUAUAAAGAGCUUUCAUUUCUUCUUCCAUUAUUGUCAUCCACAGAGUAGUUUCUUGGCUAUUUAUAAUUUCAUAGAAAGUUGAUGGCUCUCAAGUCUCAAUCCUCUAUUAGUAUACAUUAUGCAAUAUUUUCCCCUUCAUAAUGUACUUGGAGUGGGAAGCUAGUUCUCUUAUCUCUCGUGUUGAUAGUCAAAUUUCUGGAACUAUAGACUCAACUUGUUUUUGUUUCUCGUGCUUUAGAGCUACUUCAGAAGAGUCUAGAACUUUUUGUUCUGUCCAUCUUUAACUUUGAAUUUUGUACUCUGGUUUCCCAUUUGAAAACCUAUUAGCUUCAUUUUCUUGUCACUUGCCUUCGGCAACUAUUAUGUCUUUGUUGAUUAUCACUUCAUAGGUAGUGGGAUCUCACAUGUAGAACUUCUUGACUACAUCAAUAUACCAUUAGAAAAUGCAUUUUUUGGAUUGUAGAUGUAGCUUUGAUGUUUCUUGGAUGCUGUUCAUAAUGUACAUAGGACUUGCAAAUACAUAUAAAUGAGAAUAAUCAAUUGCCUUAUCAGUCCACAUCUCUAUACGCAUCAUUAGUUCAAAAGAGGCUAAUGGUGACUAAUUGAUUACAUAACAGGUGGUUUUACUGCUUUCGCCAAGAAUGACUUCGCGAGCCCCACAGUUGUCAACAUUGCUCUUAUUCUUUCUAACAAGGUUCUAUUCAUCGACUCUGCCAGUCUAUUUUGUUGUGGAUUGUACGUCAUUGUGAACUGUCUUUUAAUACCUUUUUGUUGACAGAAAUUAUCAAAUUCAUUAUCAAUAUAUUCUCAUCCAUUAUAAGUCCUUAAACACUUGAUCUUCUUUUCACAUUCAAGCUCUCUUAGCACUUUGUAUAUUUUGAAGACCGAAAAUACAUAUGCCUUUCUCCUGAUUGGAUAUACCUAACAUCUCCUCGAGUAGUCAUCAAUGGAAGACAUAAAGUAUUGUGCACGUCCUAAGGACAAAACUGGUGCUUGCAAAAUAUUAGAAUGAACCAACUUUAAAAUAACAUUGCUUCUUGUAUAUUCGCAUCCAUCAUAAAACAUUACUCGAGAGAGAUUGUUGAAAAAAAUAGGAACAUUGAUUUUUCAAAAUUCCACUGUGUUGUCAAAGUGUAAAACUAAGAUUAAAAAGGAUUUUUGUAUGGAAUUUGGGAUCCUAACACGCUUGUCGUUCACUAAAACAUCAACUUUCAUAGCAUAAUUUGCAUUUAGUUAGUUAAUUCACUCAUAAUCACAUAAGUAGCUUAUUUUAGUUAUACUUUCGUCACAAAUAAACACAUCUUAUUAUUCUUUUUUCAGUUAAGAUCGUGAUAUUUAAAAUCGAAUUAAUCAAUCUCUGUGAGACGAUAAUGGAACUCAAAUCUACUUUAUUAUUUGUUAACAAACCGUACGCUUUACGGUGAUUUUAAUUCGAAACAUAUUUUCGUGAAUAGUCUCUAUGUAAAAGCUCGACUUCUUCACUGAGGUUUGACCAAAACUGCCUCUUGGGCAGAAUGACGUGGGGUACGAACCCAGAUUUGCUUGCCAUGUAGCUGCCAUGCAGCAGUUUUUGGAGAGGCGUAGCAAUAGUCUUUGUGAUGUCCAUUUAUGGUGCUCAAGAUACUUUUAGUUGGUCAUAGACAUUCCUCCUAUUAACUUCCUCCCCACCCCCCACCCCUUCUUGUUAGGACCUUCCUCUUGCUGCUCACGCUGAUUCCCGGGCUCAGUUAACCAUUAAAACCGAGUUUCAACAUCAAACUGGAAGAACCCAUACCGCCGACUACUCUUCUUCCUAUGGUUGCUUUCUUCUCUUGCUUAAUUGAUUCAAUCCAUACACUUAGGAUGGAUACCACUCAGGUAAGGUUCACAAAGACUCAAGCAAUUUGGGUGGAGAAGAAAUCACGAAGGAGAUGAAGGCAGAAGAACUCGGCAGUUUCUCACGGCUUGGACACGGUUGGACGGCUUCAACUUUGGACGAUACCAACAAAGGCAAAGACACCAAUAUAUAUAGUAAGUCAAGUGGCCAACAUAAGGUAAGUCGGGAUAUGGUAAGUAGGCUCGACUAGGGUUAACUUCCAAUGGAAGAAAUCAACAAGCCACAAAGAAUAUUAGCCGUCCAAUAGGUAAGGCAACGUUCGGUCGGUUCAUCCAUUAUUCGAUGUUGAAUUAUCGUUCAGUCAUUUAUGUCGACUGAUAAAAUUGGUUCUCAUCAUUGCCCGGGGGUCGUUUGACAACAUAAUGUCUAACACUUCUAUUUUCGUUUCUUUUCCUUGGAGUUCAAGAAAAAGCAUGAAAUAAGGGCUCGUGAGAGAGACGUGGAGAAAAGUUUUGAGCAUGGGAAAUCUCCUUAACGGGCACGAACCAAUGUUAAGGGAGAUAACGUUUUCCAAACGUGACAGAGCGAGCAGAAGUUAUUGUGCUGCAUCUGCUUCCAAGUUUUAUCGACAAAAAAUAGGAACAUACAGAAUGUACGUGUUUGAAACUUCAAAUGAUCUGAGGGUAGCACUUGCUGUUGCCUCAUGUGACUGAUAAUAAUCUCCCGAACCAUACAUGUAUAUAUACAUAUUAUUCUUGCUUCUGCUGCAAAUAUCCUUCUCCAACCAUUCUUUCAAGAUACAUUAGAUAUGUAUGUAUAGAUAGAUGUUCCCUUGAUACAGUUCUGUUAUAUUUACUUAAUCCAAACACUAUGUGCUACUUAAAGAUGGUGCUCAAAUUUACUAUUCAGUACAAAAAAAAAAAAUUUACUAGUGUUUUGAGUUUGGCACACUAGUGUUUUCCACGAAUAGAUACAAUAACAAAUCUAAUUAAAAAAUAUUGAGUAAUGUUAUUUGUACAUAAUGGAGUUACAUAAUGAUUUACAAAUCUAAUCAAAAAGUGACUGGUGAAGUUUUUUUUUUAUUUGGUUGAACAAAUUCUCAUUCAAUCGUGUAUCACCACAUCAUGUGUAUGCAAACCAUUAUAUACGUGUAGUACAAUUGAAGAAUAUUUAGAGGUUGUUUGACUAAGCUUUUGAUAAAAGUUAAUAGUGGAUUUUGAAAAUAGUUGAUAAAAGUUGCGGGUUUCAUUAAAAGUGUGGUUAAAAUUAGUUGUUAAGUGAUCCCAAACAAGCAAUUAAUGAAAUACUACAACUCUGGGCAUUAUUCUAAACUACUAUGUAUGUUAUUAAUCUUGGCAUAACCAAAGACUCAAAUCAUGGGAUCAAUUAUUAAAAAAUAUUGACGAAUAGGACCUUAUUGACAACAAUAGUCACCAUGAUAUGUCCUUGACCUAGUCUACUAAUUAAUCAUUCAACAUAAGUAUAUCAUAAGAUAGAUGUCAUGUAUUCGAAUCUUGAUAGACGUGAAAAAUUCAUGAGAGGUAAAAUUGAUCAAGGCUCUCCAAAAUGAAUAAUGUGAAUGAGUUAGCUGUCAGUAGCUUUGUGCAUCUGUUGGAUCAUUACACUAAUUAUGACCCAUGAAUUCUCCAACAUAUAUUAAAAGAUGUAUGCUUUAUUUUUAUAUAUUAUUGCUUAUCAUAAUAACCAUUCAAAUUAUAAUCAAGUAACAAUAAGUCUCCCAGAAGCCAAUGUCAUGCUUAUUAGUAUUUCCAUCUGCCUAUUUCUUUCCUUCAAUCCAAUCUCAAUAAUGCCACUAAAAAUCUUUUGACAGUCGCUUAUUGGUCUUUCGCUUUCAGAUACAAAAUUUAACAUGAUCCUGUAAUUUCCACUAGCGAAUUCUAAGGUGGCAUUUUCCAAAACCUCCAUCGCAGCCCCAUAACCAGCAUUGCAGAUUUCGUAAAGAUCCCUCAUUUCUUUGUUUUUUUCAGCAGCUUCUUUCUUUUGUAUGAAAAUCCGCGUGUUGGUCGAGUUUUCCAGUGAUCGAGUCAGGGCUAUUUGUGUUAGACCAACAGCAUUUGUUACAGGAGAAUGAAGGUUUUUGUUAAACACAUUGGUGCAGAAUUCAUAAUCCGGUGUUUGUCGACAAAUCUUAUGGAUUAGUGCUUGAGUAGGAUCAUCACCUAAGGUGGGUUGAAUGAAGGAGAAGAUGAUUAACCAUGCAGAAAAGAUCAAGAGCCAAUGAAUGAAAUCCAUGGAAAAAAUUUCAAUGAACUUGAGAUCGAGAGAGAAAAAUUGAGAUUACCCCCGUAUUGUAAUGUCUAUGGUUCAAUUAAACAAAGUAAGCCAUCUUGGUAUUUAAACAAAAAAAAGCCCCUUUUUCAGUACAUACAUGCUAGAUUAUCUUGUUAUCUGUUAUCUGAUUAUCAAAAUUUGUUUGAAUUUUGUUAUUUAGAUUGCUAUAACUUGAGGAUUUUUUUAUUUUCAUAAUGUGAAGAUAGUGUCUUUAUUUUCUAUAAUUUGUGGGAUUUUUAUUUUAUUUUAAUGACAUAGGGGUUGGUGUCUUAAUUUUUGAGAUUGUCAAGAGGUUAUGCUUAGAUUACAUUAAUCUUUAUUAUUUUAGUUUCAUCAUUUUGAGAUUAAUUCUUUCUUCAUGUUGUGAUAAUAAUGCUAAAAUUGCCUUCCCCUUUAAGCUAUCAGCGAACCGUCAAGUCUCGAUCACUUUGUUGGGGAAUUGAAAUCAAGUGAUUUUUAUAAAUUAUGAUUAUUAACAAUGACCUAUUUAUAUUAUUUAUCUACAAUAUAUAUUAAGCCCUUGUUUGAGCUUCAUUCUUCUAAAAAAUUAUUUUUUCAAAACUCAUUUUCAACCACACAUUAUUCAAUAAAAUAAUAUUACUCGCAAAUCCAAAAUUUUACUUAACUUUUAGUCACACAUUUUUCAUCAAUUUAUUAUUUAAAAUGCAUUCUUUACCCCAAAUGGGAAUCAAACAAAAAAUUGAGUAUUGAGGAGAAAAUUUUGAAUACCAAUUUUACCCUUACAUAUUUAGUAAUAUGUCAAUUAUAUCCUUAUAUAUUUAAUACUAUUACUUAAUAUAAUUUAACUUCAUUUAAUAUACAUUUAAGUGUAAUGCUAUUAAUUGAAAUAUUACUAAAUAUGUAAGGAUAUAAUUGAAAUAUUACUAAAUAUGUAAGGGUAAAAUUGGUAUUCAAAAAUUUUCUCCUCAAUACUCAAUUUUUUGUUUGAUUCCCAUUUGGGGUAAAGAAUGCAUUUUAAAUAAUAAAUUGAUGAAAAAUGUGUGGUUAAAAAAAUUAAGUAAAAUUUUGAAUUUGCGAGUAGUAUUAUUUUAUUGAAUAAUGUGUGGUUGAAAAUGAGUUUUGAAAAAAUAAUUUUUUAGAAGAAUGAAGCUCAAACAAGGGCUUAAUAUAUAUUGUAGAUAAAUAAUAUAAAUAGGUCAUUGUUAAUAAUCAUAAUUUAUAAAAAUCACUUGAUUUCAAUUCCCCAACAGAGUGACCGAGACUUGACGGUUCGCUGAUAGCUUAAAGAGGAAGGCAAUUUUAGCAUUAUUAUCACAACAUGAAGAAAGAAUUAAUCUCAAAAUCAUGAAAAUAAAAUAAUAAAGAUUAAUGAAAUCUAAGCAUAACCUCUUGACAAUCUCAAAAAUUAAGACACCAACCCCUAUGUCAUUAAAAUAAAAAAAUCCCACAAAUUAUAGAAAAUAAAGACACCAUCUUCACAUUAUGAAAAUAAAAAAUCUUCAAGUUAUAGCAAUCUAAAUAACAAAAUUCAAACAAAUUUUGAUAAUCAGAUAACAGAUAACAAGAUAAUCUAGCAUGUAUGUACUGAAAAAAGGACUUUUUUUUUUUUGUUUAAAUACCAUGAUGGCUUACUUUGUUUAAUUGAACCAUAGACAUUACAGUACGGGGGUAAUCUCAAUUUUUCUCUCUAUAUCUCAAAUUCAUUGAAAAUUUUUCCAUGGAUUUCAUUCAUUGGUUCUUGAUCUUUUCUGAAUGGUUAAUCGUCCUCUCCUUCAUUCAACCGACCUUAGGUGAUGAUCCUACUCAAGCACUAAUCAAUAAAAUUUGUCGACAAACACCAGAUUAUGAAUUCUGCACCAAUGUGUUUAACAAAAACCUUCAUUCUCCUAUAACAAAUGCUGUUGGUCUAACUCAAAUAGCCCUGACUCGAUCACUGGAAAACUCGACCAACACGCGGAUUUUCAUACAAAAGAAAGAAGCUUCUGAAAAAAACAAAGAAAUGAGGGAUCUUUACGAAAUCUGCAAUGCUGGUUAUCGGGCUGCGAUGGAGGUUUUGAUAAAUGCUGCCUUAGAAUUCGCUAGUAGAAAUUACAGGAUCAUGUUAAAUUUUGUAUCUGAAAGUGAAAAACCAAUAAGCGACUGUCAAAAGAUUUUUAGUGGCAUUAUUCAGAUUGGAUUGAAGGAAAGAAAUAGGCAGAUGGAAAUACUAAUAAGCAUGACAUUGGCUUCUGGGAGACUUAUUGUUACUUAAUUGAUUAUAAUGUGAAUGGUUACUAUGAUAAGCAAUAAUAUUAAAAAAUAAAGCAUACACCUUUUAAUAGAUGUUGGAGAAUUCAUAGAUCGUAGUUAGUGUAAUGAUCCGAUAGAUGCACAAAGCCAUGGACAGCUAACUCAUACGCGUUAUUCAUUUUGGAGAGCCUUGAUCAAUUUUACCCCUCAUGAAUUUUUUCACGUCUAUCAAGAUUUGAAUACAUGACAUCUAUCUUAUGAUAUACUUAUGUUGAAUGAUUAAUUAGUAGACUAGGUCAAGGACAUAUCAUGGUGACUAUUGUUGUCAAUAAGGUCCUAUUCGUCAAUAUUUUUUAAUAAUUGAUCCCAUGAUUUGAGUCUUUGGUUAUGCCAAGAUUAAUAACAUACAUAGUAGUUUAGAAUAAUGCCCAGAGUUGUAGUAUUUCAUUAAUUGCUUGUUUGGGAUCACUUAACAACUAAUUUUAACCACACUUUUAAUGAAACCCGCAACUUUUAUCAACUAUUUUCAAAAUCCACUAUUAACUUUUAUCAAAAGCUUAGUCAAACAACCUCUAAAUAUUCUUCAAUUGUACUACACGUAUAUAAUGGUUUGCAUACACAUGAUGUGGUGAUACACGAUUGAAUGAGAAUUUGUUCAACCAAAUAAAAAAAAAAUUCACCACUCACUUUUUGAUUAGAUUUGUAAAUCAUUAUGUAACUCCAUUAUGUACAAGUAACAUUACUCAAUAUUUUUUAAUUAGAUUUGUUAUUGUAUCUAUUCGUGGAAAACACUAGUGUGCCAAACUCAAAACACUAGUAGUUUUUUUUUUUUUUUUUACUGAAUAGUAAAUUUGAGCACCAUCUUUAAGUAGCACAUAGUGUUUGGAUUAAGUAAAUAUAACAGAACUGUAUCAAGGGAUCAGCUUUCUAUACAUACAUAUCUAAUGUAUCUUGAAAGAAUGGUUGGAGAAGAAUAUUUGCAGCAAAAGCAAGAAUAAUAUGUAUAUAUACAUGCAUGGUUCAGGAGAUUAUUAUUAGUCACAUGAGGCAACAGCAAGUGCUACCCUCAGAUCAUUUGAAGUUUCAAACACGUACAUUCUGUAUGUUCCUAUUUCUUGUCAAUAAAACUUGGAAGCAGAGGCAGCACAAUAACUUCUGCUCGCUCUGUCACGUUUGGAAAAUGUUAUCUCCCUUAACAUUGGUUCGUGCCCGUUAAGGAGAAAACUCCACGUCUCUCUCACGUGCCCUUAUUUCAUGCUUUUUCUUGAACUCCAAGGAAAAGAAACGAAAAUAGAAGGGGUGGGGGUGGGGGGGGGGGGAAGUCAAUAGGAGGAAUGUCUAUGACCAACUAAAAGUAUCUUGAGCACCAUAAAUGGACAUCACAAAGACUAUUGUAACGCCUCUCCAAAAACUGCUGCGUGGCAGCUACAUGGCAAGCGAAUCUGGGUUCGCACCCCAUGUCAUUCUGCCUAAGAGGCAGUUUUGGUCAAACCUCAGUGAAGAAGUCGAGCUUUUACAUAGAGACUAUUCACGAAAAUAUGUUUCGAAUUAAAAUCACCGUAAAGCGUACGGUUUGUUAACAAAUAAUAAAGUAGAUUUGAGUUCCAUUAUCGUCUCACAGAGAUUGAUUAAUUCGAUUUUAAAUAUCAUGAUCUUAACUGAAAAAAGAAUAAUAAGAUGUGUUUAUUUGUGACGAAAGUAUAACUAAAAUAAGCUACUUAUGCGAUUAUGAGUGAAUUAACUAACUAAAUGCAAAUUAUGCUAUGAAAGUUGAUGUUUUAGUGAACGACAAGCGCAUUAGGAUCCCGAAUUCCAUACAAAAAUCCUUUUUAAUCUUAGUUUUACACUUUGACAACACAGUUGAAUUUUGAAGAAUCGAAGUUCCUAUUUUAUUCAACAAUCUUUCUCGAGUAAUGUUUUAUGAUGGAUGCGAAUAUACAAGAAUGCAUGAACUUCUUAUAGUGAUAUAUUUCUAUCUCUUAUUGGACUCUAUGAUGAUUUACACCACGUUGAGCAUAUUUCCCUCUUUCAAAUGCAUAAAAUAAGCAAUCAAAUUCAUAGAACUACCUUGCACAAUAAUUGUAGACAAAAGAUAAUUAUAUAAAUCAUUUAGAAUUCGAAAACGUAUUUUCAAUGUCAAAUUAUGUAAAAUAAAAUAUUAUAAACUUAUACUACAAGCUUCAUCGUUCUCUUAACACAAAGAAAUCUAGCCUAACAUGUCGUGAAGAAGAAAACAAAAGAUAUGAAAAUUGUUCAUCAUCCGAAAAAUCUUGAAUUCAAUUUUAGUGUUCUUGAAUCUCGAUGUGUUCUUUACCUCCUUUUGCAAUUGAUUCUCCACAACCCUAAUUAUGUGUUGGGAAUUGAUAUUUAUAGUACUUUUCAAUAUGUGCCGCCCAAGGAGAUGUUUCCCUUUUGGAUUGAAAUUCUAAACAAAAGUCAGUUUUUCCAUCACGAUUGGCUUGGGUAGUCGCCCAAGCAUUUUUUUAGCCUCUAUUGUCCAUUUUUCAUGGCUGAGUGAUCACAUGACCAAUAUAACUAGGUAGUCGCCUAGUUAUGUUUGCUUUCAAAUUUUGCAUUUUAAUUCCCGAAUUCAACUAUCGAUUUUUUAAAAUCAUUUUCUUUUGCAAUUUCAAUCCUUCAACUUCUAAUUGCAUCCCCAUCUUUAAUCUUCAUAUUAUGAUCCGAAUCAACUUCUAGAAUGUUGUAAUUUAGCCCUCAUACUUUGAAUUUUAUGCUUUUUCUUUUCCAAUUGCUCAGAAACAAGUCCAUCACUGAAAUAAACGAAAAUUUAGCCAAGUUAAAUAAAUGUCAACACUUUCAUAACAUAAAAGCUUAGUAAUAUGGUCUAAAUAGUACACAAAAUGUACUUAACAGAGUCGAACUCAUUUGUUGGAGUCAACCCCAUAUGGAGAAUCAAACCCUUAUGGACGGGACGAAGCUACAAGGGACUCAGUAGGAGAUCUUUUAAGCAAUUCUCAGUAAACGAUUGAUGUGACAAUUCACUACUAAUGUCGCCCUGUUCAGCCAAACAGGCUAAGUCUAAAUCAUGUGUCGGACUUUUGGGCAAGAAAAGGGUAUUAGCAUUCAAUGUCUAUGAUUGAUUGAUACCUUUGAUAAGAGGCCUCAGCCACAUAGAUGAGGCCAUGAAUACUUUCAUUCAGCAUUUAGUGAUGUGUCAUUCCAAAAUGUAAUGCAAGUUUAGACUUUCAAGCUACAACUUUGCUCUCGUCUCUAUUACGUUCCAAAGCCAAACCUUUUUACAUAAGUGGCUCACGUCUAAAGUACAUCGCACAUGCAAAUACAUUUCACUUCAACUGACUUGACCAUUGGAAUGUGCUCAACGAAUUCUAUUACCAUUGAAGGAAGUCACAUGUGGCUAACUGUUCAUCCUAGUGUGCAGAACCAGAAUGUAAGUGGGAGGCCUUGGGAUCUGUUGACCUCAAUUUUGGUAUGGAAUUUCAUCUUGUUCAUUACAACAAAGUAAUCUCCAUAUGAACAAAUAUCGCAGGUUGAUUCAAAUCUCCGUAGUAAAAAGGUAAAUAAUUUUACUUACCGAAUUAUACGUUCAUAUAAAUUAUACUUGUUUCAUACCAUUUGUGUAAAUUUAGAAAUCUCUUAAAGCGGAUGAAAGUGAUCUUUUCCAAUCUACCCUCAUGUUUCAAUAAAGAACAAGCACUGUGGAUGCUCCCAUUCAGUUGACUUUCAAAUUGUUCCAUCCUUCCAUGGCAUCUACUGGAGUGAUGAGACAACAAUGAGUAUUCCUUGAGGAUAGAAGUAAAACUUUAUCUUUCUUCUAAUAUUUAGAUUAAUACAAUAACAAACAUCAAUAUCUUUACAAAUAUCUACUGUCUCUAUGAUUUAAUUUCUCAAAUGAUGUUCGAUGAUCGUUGACAUUUUAUUGCAUGUUAUAUACAAUCAAGUCCAUCCCUGUAAUAGCAAACACUGAAUUGAAAAUAUUAUGUACGAGAAUCUAGUACAUUCAAAACACUAACAACACCUUCAAAAUAACUUAUCUCGUGCAUUAAUCUUUUUAUUGAGUUUCUAAAACAUUUCUUAGAGUAUUUGCAUAAUUUUGAAAUUUGGCCAAAAAGCAAAUGUUUACAUUCUAAAAAUUUGGCUCUUCUGGUUGAGACCGAUGAUCCGGCACUCAUAAUAUUUAUAGAGUCAUAUUUUAAAUAUAUUAUUUAAAAUCAAUUGAUGUUCAAUAAAGAAAGGCUAAGAAGGGGGCAUAUUCAAUCAAAAUUGUGACAUAUUUUAAAAAUCAUUCUAAAUUUAAGUGUCUCAAAUUGAGGUUUUAAUGAAAUCCAUUAAAAUAUAGAUGUCUUUACUGUCUUUAUUGAUAUUAUAAUGAAUUUCAAUAAAAUUCUUCAAAAUUUAGCUGUCUUCAAUAACUAAUGGAUUUCAUUAAUAAAUGAAUUUUAAAAGAUUUGGAUGGAUUUCAAACUUAAAAAUACAUAUAACAAAAUCUUUUGAAAUUUCACCAUAUUUGACGAGAUUCUUAUGGAGUUUGUGGAAACCUAUUCAAAUUCAUAAAAUUUAUUAUCCUUCAAAAUCCAUCAAAAUCUUACUCAAGGAUACCCCUUUAAACAUUUUAUAACAUUUAAUUACAAUAAUGUGAAUGACUUAAUCUCUAGGUUUUAGAGUUUUGAUUUUUGAGAUAUGCUUAAAAUUAAAAAAAAAAGUUUUAAUUAUUUUAAAAAGUUUUGUUGACCUCAAAAAAUGUGUCUCUGUUGUGGUCAACAGAUUCCAAGGCCUCUCAUGACUUCGCAAGCAUUGUUCCUGCAUCCACACGUUCUCUAGCGGCCAAGUCAAUUGGGAAGAAAAUAUAUGAGUGUGGGAGAGCUUUACACAUGAGCCUCCAAUAUAAAAGGUGGAUCGACUUUAGAGAGUAACAAAUAAAACAAUGAUAAAGUAAAGUUAUAGUGUGAGUGUCUAAACUUGCAUUACUUUUAGAAUGACACCAAGUGUAAACUUUUAUAGUAGAAAAUAGUGAGUAAGAAUCGUUAGAUGAAGAGACACGUGGCUCCAUCUAUACGGUCAUUAAGUGCCAACACCAUAUUUUUAUCUAAAAUGCCUAGCUUGCAACUUUAGACUUGACAUGGUGUGCUUGGAAGUAGCGGCAGUGACAGUAAAUUGUCAUAUCAAUCACAUAUCAUUGAUUGUUUAAGAAAUCUUACUCUGACUUUGCUUUACAACCUUGCCUCCUCCGUGGUUUGACUCAUCUUCAUAGCGUCAACUAAUGGGGGUCAAUAGAUAUAUUAGCUCGGCACCCUAAAGGGCGUGUUGAUUUUUGUGUGGGCUCUACGAUUUCUCGCCACGUAUGACAUUUGGAGGGUUUAUGGAUAAUGUAUAACAAUAGUCCCGAAGUCUAUGUAUGAUUAUUCAUGUAAUGCAUGGACUUUUAAGUUGAGAUGUAAGAUCAUGUGAAUGGUAAGCCUGUCGAUAUGAUGAACCCUCUGAGAAGGCUGAAUUCGAAGAAGGUAAAGCUCUUGAUAAAGAGGGCGAGUCUGUUGAUGUAAUGAAGCUUUUGAGAAGGUUGAAUUCAAAGAAAGCGAGGCCUUUGCUAAGGAGGGAAAAUUUGUUGAUGUGAUGAAAACUGUGAGAAUGCUUCAGAAAGGAGAGGCCCUUGCUAAGGAGAGUGAGCCUGUUUAUGUGAUGAAGCCAGUGAGAAGGUUAAAUUCGAAGAAGAUGAGGCCCUUGUUAAGGAGGGCGAGGCUAUUGAUGUAAAUGUUGAAGGGACGCGUGUUGUCAUGAUUUGGAAACAUUAUAUGUUCAAAAAAAUGGCAGCACGACAGUUUGGAGUUUUCCAUAUGCGUAUUGCAUACGCAUUUGUGACGCUGUGAAGCCGAACUAUUAUAACUGGUAGGGGUUAUGUACCAGUUGGGGUUUGAUGUGCAUAGAUCAUCAAUGUCAUCGAUUCAAUUUUCAAAAGGAACCUUUUGGUUUUUUGACGUGUGUGAUGGGAGUACAAGUGUAUGUCUAGUAUUAUUUCUGAGCUGAUCAAACGACGGUGCUCUAUUUAGGUUGCUUAUGAAAGGAGGAAAACAAUUGUUUCUUACCUUUUACUUUACAAAAGCUCCCAAACCCUUUGAACAUUUUAUUUUGGGGUUUUCGAUCAUCUUUGUCACUUUUUUGGCGAGUACUUCCAUCCAUAUCUCCAUGUUAUUUCAUGACCUCUGUAAGUGAUAGAACCUCAUCUUUUUUCAUGUAAGUGCUUUAAGAUAAUCAUUCAUUGGCCUCAUCAGGGGUUCUUCUGAAAGUAGAUAUGGCACUAAUUUGUGCCAAGGCUGGUUGCCUUUGAAGAUUCCCAUUGAGAGGAUAAGGGAUGUCAUUGGGGCCCACAUAGCAUGUAGAUGAUGCAAUGUGUGAGAUAGGAGCUUUCUUGUGCCUGUCUUGUGUGGAUGAGAGUGAAAUUUGAGACGUUUGGGAAACGAAUUAGGAUAUUAGAAACCAUUGAGAUUUUGCUCCUAUCCCUGAUAAGCGAGCCUUUUUUCAAUGAGGGGUAUGUUGCGGUGAAUGAAUCGAUUCUUAGUGGUGGGAUGAGACUGUUAUGCAUCCUUUCUUUAGAUAUAUAUUUGGGCAGUAUAACUUGGCUCUCCUACCUAAUUAAUGCCCAAUGCAGGGAGCCAAUUUACAAGGCUUUUCUUCCUUGGAAGGAAGUCACUCUUGGUGAGGAUAUGCCUCCCCAUGUCUUUCAGACCCUUUUUUUAGCCUCGAGCUUCUAUUGGGAAGAUGAAUGUAAGGAGUGGUAUUGUAUGAACCUAUGAGGUCCGCAUUUAUCCUUUAUCUGGGAUACUCCGACCUCAAUAAAGAAUUGGAAAUUGUCUUGGUUCUAGGUGAGGGGUCAUUAGUAGACAGUGGAGAGGGAUGCAGUCCCAAAAAUAACUGUGCCAACCCAAUACCAUAAGUAUAUUGAGUUUAUUUUGGUUAAGAUAAUUCAUUCAUUGCUGCAUUUCAUUGAGCUGCAUCACUAGCUUUUGUUUCUUUAGCUGUAAUUAACCAUUUCAAGAUCGAGCUAUCGGAGUGGGCCAUUGUCAAGUCCAUCUACGAGUUUCUUACUGAGAAGAGGUAUUUUAAAAACUUACUUAGCCCUUUCAUGACAUAUUUAUUGUUGGUGACCAAGGUAUGUAGUUAGCGCCUCGCAUUCAUUGUUGAUAUGCUGUUAAGAUUUUAGGCUAUGUUAAAGUCUCGACUUUUGUUUUGUAAAGCAACAUGAUAGCAAUGAAUAUAUAUCAAGUCGGAUAUGUUCUUUAUGAGCACCUAUGGAAAGUAAGGAAAAAGAAACCACUGAGUUCUAGCUCCUCUAUCUACAAGAUCCAGAGGGAUGAGUUGUCCUGUUUAUCUAAGAUUAAUUCACCUCUUCUCUUAGAGAAAAGAGGGACAAGAACAGGAAGAAAAAAUUGAGCCUUCUACGGGGGAUCCAUAAGAGGAAGUUGACUUUAACAAAGAAAACUAAGCCUCUUUCCCCUCAAAGCACCAAACAACGAUUGAAGAAUACCUAAAGAGGCUUAUCGUAGACCCUAUUUCUUCUGCGAAGAUAAUGGAGGUAGAGGAGGUGAGUGAAGAUGAGGGGGUCUCAUCUAAAGAAAAUGAGCAUAAGGAGGCUACCAAAGGUGCUUCUUCUGAAGGAAAAGCCCAAAAUUUCUUGGGAGACAAGUUUGACAAGAUCAUCCCUAUAGUUUGGAGAUGUUUCCCAUCGAGGUCCAUAUAGAGCAAGCGUCCAUCAUAAAUAUUGAACUAUAAAUAUUCGUCUUAUACUGAGGUCUAUGACUCAAUUGAUAAUUGGAAAUUAGCCUUACCCUACAAGCUCAUUCACAAGGCUUCUUCUUGAAUGCCCAAAUGGAUGUGAGGAGAAUGUAGAAGACUAAAUAAGGAAUUUUAGGGUGAGAGCUGAUGUGGAGGCUAAGGGCUAAGGCCUCUAUUAGCAUGAGGUCAUUGAGACUUUAGGGUGAGGUAUGUUGAAGCUAAGUCAAAGAUUGAGUUCCUUACUACUAAAAAUCAGGAAAUGAAGAGAGAAGACCUCCUUUGCAAAGAUGAGGUGAAUACCAUGACAAAACUGGUUGAAAAUUUUGACAACCUGCAAAAGAUAGCUUCCUCGGCCUUGGAGAUGGCUAAUAAAGAAAAGGGAGAGCUAAAGGCUUAAGUAGAUGAGCUGACUCUCGAGGUUGCCCAUUUAAGUCAAUAGUUGAGUGGGACAGGGGAGGUAGCCGCGAACAACUAUGUAGCACACUUUUAUGAAAUGAUUGAGUAUGACGAUCUCGAUUUUACUGGAGGAAUGUUGCAUGCAGUAAAGUCUUUGGAAAGAUAGCUGAGCUCCAUCAUCAAAUAGAUGGGGUUAUUGUGAAGGAGGAGUUCCUCCCAACAAAGUCAUCCACCCUUGCAGAUGAUGCCGAAAGCUCUAAUGGUGGGAAGAGCCAAGCAGAGCCUCAGUAGGAUGAAGCUACUGCUUACACAUAGGCUUUUAAUUUUUGUCUGGUCCAUAAUGUAGUUCCUAUUUGUAAUCAGCUUGCCUUAUGUAUGUAAAGAUCUUUUAUUAUCUAGCUAUUUUAAUUUUUGAUCGUAGGUUUUGUAGCCGCCAUUGUUACGUGGGUUCACAUCAAUUGGUAUUAGAGCUCAGGCUUUAAAAUCAAGUUUAUAUCCUUUGUCAUUUUCGUUAAGUCAUUUUGUUGUUCGUUUUUUGCGUUGUUUGUUUUCUUCAUUAAUUUUGAGUCUUUGAUCCAUGAAAUUUUCAUCAAAUUUUCAAAAGUUAUUUUUGUGCUAAUGUAGAAUCCAAAUCAACUUCCUUUUGUUUUUGUUGGCAUCAUAGUCGAGUUUUCUAUAAAAAAAUCCAAAAAUUCAAAAAAAAGUUGUUAUUGUUUAGAUUAUUUUGGAAAUUGCUAGUAAGUUAUAGUCUUUCCAAGUUCAAAUUUGAUCUAUUCAGUCGAGUCCAAAAAUUCAAGAACCAUUCUUCUUAACAUUCCUUUAAAUUUGUCCAAUUUCCUUUUUAGUCUCUUAAAGUCGCAAAGUCUUACAUUUCAUCCUGUUGAAUUCCACAAGAAUUAUUCGGGAUUGAGUUCGAAUUUGUUCUUGAAGCCAUUGAUCGGAAGCGUUGAGUGGAAAAAUGCUAAUUGGUGAGAUCAAUAGAGGAUAAAAGUAAAAAAUUGAGAGAUACAAGAGUGAAAUACGCGAGGUAGAAAUAUUUUAGAUUUAGGAUGUCUAACAUGGAUGAAUCAAAUUCAAGCAGGAAUGGCAAUCAAAUCAACAUGUCUAAUGAUGUGAUGCUGCGAUUUGAGAGACUGCUAGUGGAUAUGGGAGGUAGAAUGCAUAAACAGAAGGCUUGGAUGGAAAGGCUAGACACUAAGAUUACUAAUCUUUAUAAGGGAUAGUGUGUAGAAGUACCUACUGUAAGGAGACAUGGUAGACGAGAUCCUAGGAUGGAAAUGUGUGACAAGUAUGAAUACGGUAACAAUCUGGCUGAGGAUGCAUUAAUGGAGGUUGAAAUGGAAAGGUGUGACUAGAGGCGAUAGGUUUGAAAGAUGGGGUUGAAAUACUGUUAGUGAAGAAGUGGAUGGAGGCAUGGGAAACAUAAAAAUGUCCAUUUCACCAUUUAUGGAAAGGAGUGAUCCAGGGCUUACCUAGAGUGGGGGAAAAAAAGUAGAGCUAAGUUUUGAGUGCCACAAUUACUCGGAUGAGAAGAAAGUAAAGAUCACAGUCCUUGAGUUCACUAACUAUGGGAUUUCUUGGUGGAAUCAAGUGGUAACAUCACGAUGGAGGAAUAGGGAAAGACCUAUCAAUACAUGGGAUGAACUAAAGGCGAUAAUGUGAAAGAGGUUCGUGUUAAGUCAUUACUAUAGGGAACUCUAUCAAAAGUUGCAAAGUCAUUAUUUUUUACUUUUCAAAAUCUUUUCUCCACUUACUCCACUUGUUUUACCUUGGAAAUACAUGUGAAAUACAUCAAAUAAAUAUUUUUUCAAAAGUAAAAUACUCAUGCCAACAUGUAUUUCAAUACGUGUUUGGAUUAAUUGCACUUUUAACCAUGUAUUUAUUGAUACUGAAUUUACAGCAGGAGAAUUGAAAUUAGAGACUAACAUUAGUGUUUUUAAAAAAAGUGAAUGUAAAAAUCCUUGUAAAUGAUAUAUAUUUGAAACACUUUUAGACACUAAUCAUGGAGAGGCAAUUGAAGUGAAAAGGAACAGCUAGGUAUCCAUCGAGGCCUAAUUUAUCUUCGAAAACGAAGUGGGAUGAUGAUAGAGUAGAUGGAGUUAUUUCAAAUGGUAAAAUUGAACCACCAAGGGAAAAGGAAAAGAUUGCUAGCAUGGCCCUACCAAAAGCAGAACCACAACAUUCUAGGAGCCGAGAUAUCCAGUGUUUCAAGUGCUUGGGGUCGAGGUACAUUGCUUCUUAGUGUCCUAAUAAACGAGCAAUGAUCUUGAGUGCCAAUGGAGAAAUGGUGAGUGAUAGUGAUGGAGAUGGGAUGCUCAAACUAGAGGAUGUUAGUAGUGGUGAAGUGGUGGAACACGUAGUCGAAGAUGAAGCACUUGUGGUGAUGGGUGCAUUCAACACACAAAUUAAGGUAGAUGAAGAUGAGCAGUAGGAGAAUAUCUUGCAUACUAGAUGCCAUUUGGAGAACAUGGUAUGUAGUUUAAUAAUUGAUGGAGGUUGUUGCUCUAAUAUAGCUAGUACCGUGCUUGUUGAGAAGUUAGGCUUGGUGACUACAAAACAUUCUAAGCCUUACAAAUUAAAAUGGUUAGAUGAUUGUAGGGAGGUUAAGGCAAAUAAGAGGGUAUUAGUGAAUAUUAAUGAACUUUUCGAUUGGGCAAUAUAAAGAUGAAGUAUUGUAUGAUGUAGUCCCUUGGGUAGGUCGUGGCAGUAUAAUAGAAAGGUAAAACAUGAUGGGUUUAGAAAUAGGUGCAACAUUGAAAAAGAUGGGAAAGCGAUUACUCUUGCAUCUUUGACACCACAACAAGUAUAUGAAGAUCAAAUGAAAAUGAGAGGUAAGGAAGAAAGAAAGAGCAAAAAGAAGCAAAAGGAGAGCUCAAGAGAAAAUUACAAUGUAGCUAAGUGUGAGAAAAACAUAGCAAAGCCACAAGAGAGAAAAGAAAGAAAGUCUGAGUAGAGAGGAAAAUGCAAGUGAGUUUCUACGCAGAGAAAAGUGAACUUGAGAAUGAUUUGAUAAAGACUAACAAAUACCUUCCCAGUUUGAAUGUAUCUUUAAUGCAUGAAUAUGAAAAUUUGUUGCAUGAAGACUUCCUUAUGGGAACGUCAUCCUUUAAAUAUUCGAUUCAUGCAUUGUAAAUGGAGAAUCUUAUGAGCAUUGAAAGAUCAUUCAACAAUGACAUGGCGGAGUAACAAUACAACGAACAUAAGAGAGAUAAUGGUCUAGUAGAUGGAAAGCUGAAAUGAUGUUGUGUUCGUUCCAAGGCAGUGAAUGGAAGAGGCAUAAAAUAUUUAGAUCUGGCGAUUAGGCUUGGAAGAAUCAACAAAAAAGGCGUGAUCAGUUGAAAAGAAGGUCUAAGUUCCAUCCUAGAUGAGAUGGUCCGUUCCAUGGCAUCUCAAUGCUUGAAGGCAAUGGGAUCAAAUUUGAUCUUGAAGUUUCAAAUUCGAGGAUGAAUCCUUUCAAAGAGGGAGGGAAUGAUGGGAUUCAUGGAAGACAUCAAGGUGGCAAGGAAUUGAAUCAGGUUGAUAAGGAGCUGAGACUAAGAAUUGAGCUAAGUGUGAGACCUCGAAGAGCCAACAAAGUCAUCCAUUUAUUUGAUACAGUUAUGGAGUUCAAAAUACCAAGGUUAAUAAGCCAAAUUUCAAGUGUAAUGUAUAGAUGUCGAAGGCCAAAACAACUUGGAGGUAGUGCAAUUCAAGAGGCAGGGAAUCGGGCUUGCCGUAAAGCAAUGCAACUGUAAGGCUUUAAGCCUUAUCAGUCGCUCAAGAGGAAGCAGAAAACACUGGCAGCAAAUGUUGAUCUAUGCAGAUGCAGGGUGUAUUUCGAGACCAAGAAUUUUAAUUUUCUCGUGAGUUUCCAAUUUGCUUUAUAACUUUAAUAUCUUAGUAUCUUUACAAUAUUUUGCACGUAUUUUCCUUUUAAAUUUAGGUUUUUAGGACUUGAUACAAAUAGGACUUAUUUCAUUCAUUGUAAUCUUAAAACUUUUGAUAUUGAGAAAUAAUUGAGAGGCUCAUUUGCUUCCACUCUCUUGUUCUUAAUUGAACAAUUUGAACUUAUCAAGAUUAACAAUCUUUUGAUGUUCACAAAUCCGGGCGAGGUUCAAUAAUUGUGUGAUCAAGAGGUCGACAAAUUCAUUGUUGUUGGUUGUUUGGUUCAUAGUUUUUGGAUUAAAUCUAAACCUUGGAUCUUUGGUAUUCUUGGGAUCCGGUGUGAAAUCUUGUUGUGGGUCAUAGCUGCCAUUGCUACCUAGGUUCACAUCAAUAUGGUUGACCCUUAAUAAAAGGAUAUUACUAAAUAGAGCGGCUAAAAUCUCUGUUAAAAUCUUUCUAGUUUGGCCUUGAUUGACAACUCACACCAACAUUCCUACUCAAGUUGGUGUAUAGAUAUCAUGAAUGCCCAACUUGUCAAAUGAGUUGUAAUGGAUCCUACUAGAAACAACCUUUGUUAGUAUAUCAGUUAGUUGUUUUUUAGAGUUAACGAAUGGAAAACAAACUAUCAUAGCUUUGAGAUUUUGCUAGAUGAAAUGUCAAUCUACUUCAAUAUGUUUAGUAUUGUCAUGUUGGACUGGAUUAUGAGAAUUAUGGAUGGUCAACUUAUUAUUACAAAAUAAGUUCAUUUUGAAAUUGGGAGUGGCCCAAUUUCUAUCAGUAUCUCUUAAGCUAAAGAAGUUAAUGAAGUCCUUUGGCCAUGCCUCUAAAUUUAGAUUUGGCACUAGAUAUUGCCUCUACUUUCUGUUUCUUACUCCUCCACAUGUUGCCUUCUACAAAUAGAAAUAGCUCAAUGUAGACAUCUUAUUAGAGAUGUUUUCGGCCCAGUCUACAUUUAUAUAACUAUCAAUAUUGAGAUGAUUAUUCUUGGAGAACAUAAGUCAUUUUCUUGGAGCAUAUUUCAAAUAUCAGAGAAUUGAACUACCAAAUCCAUAAGAUUUUUACUAGGUGAGGGCAUCAAUUAGCCUACUAGGCUUACGGAAUAAGCAAUAUCUACAUGAUUAUGGGAUAGACAAGUUAGCUUGCUUACUAAUCUUUGAUACCUUUCCUUAUUUGUGGGAACUUGAGCUGAAUACUCUCCAAGCUUGUGAUUCUGAAUCCUUUGUGUAUCAACUGGCUUACAAUUUAGCAAGCCCACUCAAACAACAAAUCUAGCCCAUAGUUUCAUUGGAAAAUAAAUAUACCUUUUCUUCUGGUUACUCAAUUUCUAAAAAUUAUUUGAGACCCCAAGGUUCAUCAUUUCAAACUCAAUUGCCAAUCUCUUUUGUAUUCUAGAAAUCAAUGUUAUAAAAAUCGAACCAAAUUGGUCGGUUCUAUCGAAAAAAAUUGGAAAUUGAUACAAAAUCUGGUCCAGUUAACACUGAAAAACCACUUAAUUUAAAUUUGGUAAAAAAUUUAUCAAUUGGCUAGUUUAUUCAUUAGUCCGAUGACCCGGAACCUAUUUUUUCUGGUUGGUUAACUAUUUAUAAAUUUUAUGUUAAUAAACUUCAAGCCUCUUAAUUAAAAAGGCCAAAAAAUGUUCCUUACCGAACUAUUGGAACGCCCAUUUAUUGAUUGCAUUUCUUGGGAUUUUUUAGUUAAUAUCUGAUGUGAGAACUAAAAAGCAUCCCUUGGCUGUAAUAUAAAAAUCCCCUUUGUCCAUAGAAAAAUCAAUUAAAAAUUUUAACGGCCCCUUCGGUUGUUUAUUUUAUUGAAUAAAUAAAUUAAUUUUUUAUCUUAUUUUAAUUAAUAAAAAAUUAAAAACUCUCCAAAUAUUUCAAUUAAUAAUAUUAAACCAUUAUUUAAUAUUCUUUACUAUUUGAAAAUGUAUUUAUUUAUCUUUAUUUAACUAACCGGUUCUAUUCCAGUUCGACCCUUUAUCCUUUAACCCUUUUGCUUUUUCUGGUUGAUAUGAAAAAUUGCUAGAGAUCUCUUUAAUGUCAUCUCUGGUGAUAAUCAUGUCAUCCACAUGUAUUAUUAAAGUUGUUAUUUUUCCGUAUCAAUGUGUCAAAAAUAAAAUAUGAUCCGAGUUUCUCUGUUCAAAACAAUACUUUUUUAUAGCCAAGCUGAAUCGUCCAAACCAUGCACCGGUUGAUUGUUUUAGUCCAUACAAUGAAUGUUGUAGCUUACAUAUGACCUUUGCCUUUGAGGGAAUUGUUGACACAUAAAAAUUCAGCCCAAAUCGAAUGGUCCAAGGAAUGAAGCCCAAUUGGAGGAUCCCCAAAUCAGAUAGCCCAAAGAACGAAGCCCAAUCAGACAAUUCAAGAUGAAGGCCCAAAUAAGGAGGCCCAGGAACGCGGUAACACCAUCACCCAAGUUUGCAAGUCGCCCAGAAUCUGAGCGAAUGGAGUGCUAUGCAGUCGCCCACAGCUGUUACUCUAUUUUCGCCCAAACCUUCGAGUCGCCCAAAGUCUUAGCAAACAUGAAGUGUUGUGGUUAUCAAGAAGUGCAGCUAUCAAAGCAGUUAUUAAAGCAGCCCUAUCACGUUCCACGUUCAAGGAACUUAAUUGAAGAUGGUUGAACGACAAAGAGUAAUGGCAGCAGUUAGAAAAGGUAGUUCCAUGACAAGUUGGCCAUUAAUAAGAAAGUGGGCAGUUAUAGAACGAUCCAACAAUUUUUAGGCGGUUGAUCACAAAGAGAUCAACCAGGAAGUAUAAAAGGAAGGAAGGACAUAGAGCAAGAGGACGGAAUCAAAAAAACUCUCGAACAGAGAACAUGUAAUUUUAAAUUUCUUAGCUUAGAUUUAAACACUUCUUUCAGUAACUCGUGUGCUUGCGCCCCUUGGAGGCAUUUUGUUUUUAAUUUCCGAUUGUAAAGUCACCACCAAUAAAGAGUACCCCUUUUUGGGACUUUGUCCCAAGAGGUUUAUCCCUUACACAAUCGUCUGAUCCCUUUUAAUUGUUAGCGACUAAUACGCGUGAAACAAUUUGGCACGCCCAGUGGGACAGUGGUGUUUGGUGUUGAAAAUACAAAAGGUAAAACAAUAUGCUUCAGAGAUCCAAUAAGGAAGCAGCAAGUCAGGGAGAAAUCCAGUCUGUGAUUGAGCAAUAUGAGAAGUAGCAUGCCUCUCCAUGAACAGAUGGACAGAAUCAGAGCAGCAACAGUCGUUACGAACUAAUGACAGAGUUGAGUUCUCGAACCAUGCGUGCAUUACUUGGAGAACUCACACAAGAUGUCGUUGAACAGGUAAAUCUUCGAAGUAUUCAUAAUAUGGAAAGAUUUACCCAAAAUGGGAAUGCACAUUAUGACAACAUGGCCAAACAACUAAACACUUUGAAUGAAACAAUGAAUAAGUUAGUAGGCCAAAUAUGUCAACCGGUUAUGCCUCUUGCAAACCACUUUCAAAUUAGGACAAUUGUGGGACAUAAUCCCUCAGUCCUAAAUCCGAAUCAAGGGGUAGAACCACUUUCUGGUCCCUCUACUUCAAACUAAGAGGGUGGUGCAGUGCCAAAUCAGAAAAAUGGUAGUGGUACGCCUAACUUGGGGGGUAAUCCAAAUGUAAGAGAUAAUGUCCUAAACAAUGGACAGAAUACCCCACGUGUUAAUGAGGGAAUGGAUGUUCAGGCUAAUGGUAAUGGCCCUAAUCAUGGUAACUUUGUUGCCAAUUAAGGACCAAACAUCAAGCCUCAUGCAAAUCAACCGGUUAACCAACCUGUAGGAAUUCCAUAUGACCCCAACGUCAUGUUGAGGAAUCAGAUUAUGGAAAUCGUACAGGAUCAGAUGGCUUUUGGGGUGCGUCCUGUCACUAGGCCGACUUACACAAAGCCAUA